Molecule: long non-coding RNA, 846 nt
Organism: Bubalus bubalis (water buffalo)
Lineage: Eukaryota; Metazoa; Chordata; Mammalia; Artiodactyla; Bovidae
Exons: 3
Source: RefSeq, a predicted model, not a curated record
UGUGCCCCGCGUGUGCACGGGCGUGGCGGCGGCGGCGGGCGCGCGACCCGGCCGCGGUAGUGCGUGCCCGUCGCUCUGCGCACCCGCCCGCCCGCCGGAGCGCAGCAUCGCCUCCGGCCAAGAGUGUGCAUGCGUGGGGAUGCCGCAUAAGGUGUGUGAUGUGAUCACGCCUGCCUUGGAGGAGCUGACACCGGCUGUUGCGUGGGUCCUGGACACUCACCUCUGGAGCACUGAGCCACCACCAUGCUGGGAGGAAGCCCAACCAGCCCACAUAGACCAAGUAGAAGGGCCCAGAGAGAACAGGAGGAGGAGAGAGAUGCCCAGCCAGCCGACUGCAGCCACUGGCUGCAGCUGCAUGAGGGACCCCAAGCCAGACCACGUAGCCAAGCCCAUUCCAAAUUCAUGACCCAUAGAAACUAUGAAAAACAGUAAGAUGAUUCUUGUUGUUUUAAGCCGUGUAAAGUGUGGGGUUGGUUGGUUAUGUGGCUAAUUAAAACACAGCCCUCAUGUUGAUGGAUGGCAGAAAUGGAACCAAUUUUGUAAAGCAAUUAUCCUUCAAUUAAAAAAAAAUAAACACAACCCAUUGCAAAUCUUGCGGGACUCAUGAUUCAAAAUACUCUAAAAUCCAGCUGCUUCUCACUGCUCCACCCACACCACCCUAAUCUGGGCCCUCCAUCACCUCUUGCCUGGACCACUCAGCAGCUUCCUGACUGGUCUCCCUGCUUCUGCCCUGGACCCUGCAGUCUGUGGUCUGCCCAGCAGUCAGAAUGAACCCAUGGAGCCAAGACACCUGCUCAGAGCCCUCCCGUGGCUCUCAUCUCCCUCAAGUCUUGACAGCGACCCACA